RNAcentral lists this transfer RNA (68 nucleotides) under Proechimys roberti (Roberto's spiny-rat). Its description in RNAcentral is "tRNA-Arg". It matches the Rfam family "tRNA". Rfam says of the family: Transfer RNA (tRNA) molecules are approximately 80 nucleotides in length. Their secondary structure includes four short double-helical elements and three loops (D, anti-codon, and T loops). The record is from RNAcentral. Lineage: Eukaryota; Metazoa; Chordata; Mammalia; Rodentia; Echimyidae.
UAGUAGUUAGUUUAAUUAAAACAAAUGAUUUCGACUCAUUAAAUUAUGCUUAAAUACAUAACUACUAA